Molecule: long non-coding RNA, 904 nt
Organism: Pan troglodytes (chimpanzee)
Lineage: Eukaryota; Metazoa; Chordata; Mammalia; Primates; Hominidae
Exons: 5
Source: RefSeq, a predicted model, not a curated record
UCCCUGUCUCCCUUGGCUGACUCUCUUUUCGGACUCAGCCCGCCUGCACCCAGGUGAAAUAAACAGCCUUGUUGCUCACACAAAGCCUGUUUGGUGGUCUCUUCACACAAACGUGCAUGAAAUUUGGUGCCAUGACUCGGAUUGGGGUACCUCCCUUGGGAGAUCAAUCCCCAGUCCUCCUGCUGUUUGCUCCAUGAGAAAGAUCCACCUAGGACCUCAGGUCCUCAGACUGACCAGCCCAAGGAACAUCUCACCAAUUUCAAAUCUGGACCCCACUGAAAAUCGGACUGUUCAACUCAUCUGGCAGCCACUCCCAGAGCCCCUGGAACUCUGGCCCAAGCCUCUCUGACUGACUCCUUCCCAGAUCUUCUCGGCUUAGCAGCUGAAGACUGACACUGCCCAAUCGCCUUGGAAGCCCCCUAGACCAUCACGGACACCGAGCUUCGAGUAACUCUCACAGUGGAGGGAACGCGCAUGAAAAAAACAAACAAAAAAAUUUCUUUUGGUAGCAGAAUAAAAAAACAAAAAAAAGGACUUUUUCUUCUGGACUGAACUAUAUUUAAAUCUCAAAGGAUGGACAUCUCACAACCUUCGUACAGCAAGUACUGUGAGCUCACAGCACAGUCCAUCAAUCUUACAAGCAGUUCUAAUAGUUCCUGGAUUUGGAAUUUGAUGCAGAGCUUGAUGCAGGCUUUGUAUGAACAGAUGCUUAUAUAAAAGCUAAAAUAGGCCAGGCACAGUGGCUUACACCUGUAAUCACAGCAAUUUGGGAGGCCAAGGUGGGCGAAUCACUUGAGGUAAGGAGUUCAGGACAAGCCUGGCCAACAUGGUGAAACCCCCUCUCUACUAAAAAUACAAAAAUUAGCCGGGCGUACUGGCGUUUACCUAUAAUCCCAGCUCCUUG